This 444-nucleotide ribosomal RNA is filed under the name uncultured bacterium. RNAcentral's name for it is "bacterial SSU rRNA". It matches the Rfam family "Bacterial small subunit ribosomal RNA", at positions 958 to 1398 of the family's 1533-position model. The record is from RNAcentral.
AACGCGAAGAACCUUACCUGGGCUCGAAAUGCUAUGGACAGUCUGUGAAAGCAGAUCUUCCCCUUAAAAGGACCGUAGUAUAGGUGCUGCAUGGCUGUCGUCAGCUCGUGUCGUGAGAUGUUGGGUUAAGUCCCGCAACGAGCGCAACCCUUGUCCUGUGUUGCCAUGCCCGAAAGGGCGGAACUCGCAGGAGACCGCCAGCGAUAAGCUGGAGGAAGGUGGGGAUGACGUCAAGUCCUCAUGGCCUUUAUGUCCAGGGCUACACACGUGCUACAAUGGCCGGUACAAAGCGUUCCGAAGCCGCGAGGUGGAGGCAAUCGCAAAAAACCGGUCUCAGUUCGGAUUGCAGGCUGCAACUCGCCUGCAUGAAGCUGGAAUCGCUAGUAAUGGCAGAUCAGCACGCUGCCGUGAAUACGUUCCCGGGCCUUGUACACACCGUAGUAC